AUACCUUUCUCCGCCUUUUGGCUAAGAUCAAGUGUAGUAUCUGUUCUUAUCAGUUUAAUAUCUGAUAUGUGGACCAUGUGUCCACAACGAUAUUAAAUUUAUGUUUUAUGGGGGAGGGUCCACCACAGUGGCUUGCCAAGCCACUGGGGCCCUCACGUGUCGCCCAGGCGUUGCACUAGUGCCUGGGCCCGGCGCACCCCGA
Triticum aestivum (bread wheat) is the source of this 202-nucleotide non-coding RNA. NCBI's taxonomy places the organism in Eukaryota, Viridiplantae, Streptophyta, Magnoliopsida, Poales, Poaceae. The record is from Rfam.